UAUGAGGAAACAGAUUCCAGUGAGGAAACA
This 30-nucleotide non-coding RNA is filed under the name Mus musculus (house mouse). The record is from RNAcentral. Lineage: Eukaryota; Metazoa; Chordata; Mammalia; Rodentia; Muridae.